AUGACGAAUCACCUCCUCACCCGAGCUCGACGCGGCUCCAUCGCUGAUAUGCAGCUUUGCGGACCUCCAAGAUGGCUCACCAAAAGUGAAGCCCUUAUCGUUGAACGAAUCAGACCGAGGCAACACUCCGGACACGCCAUCAAAGAUAAUUGGGAGCCUAUGUCCAUUGAUGCAUACCUGCUUGCGUACAUGUGUGCUGCCUUGUUAGAUAACUAUAUACGCACCACGUCGACAGAGCUUGUUGGCAUGUGCUGCAUAGAUGCCGAUAUGCAAGAAGGUAAUGGAUCUGAAAAUAAUGCAAAUAAUAAGGAAUCAAGAAUGUCUAGUGUGGAUUAG
Molecule: ribosomal RNA, 336 nt
Filed under: Triticum aestivum (bread wheat)
Lineage: Eukaryota; Viridiplantae; Streptophyta; Magnoliopsida; Poales; Poaceae
Description: partial small subunit ribosomal RNA
Source: RNAcentral